RNAcentral lists this ribosomal RNA (466 nucleotides) under Vreelandella stevensii. RNAcentral describes it as "partial 16S ribosomal RNA". It matches the Rfam family "Bacterial small subunit ribosomal RNA", at positions 338 to 795 of the family's 1533-position model. The record is from RNAcentral. Lineage: Bacteria; Pseudomonadati; Pseudomonadota; Gammaproteobacteria; Oceanospirillales; Halomonadaceae.
CCUACGGGUGGCUGCAGUGGGGAAUAUUGGACAAUGGGCGAAAGCCUGAUCCAGCCAUGCCGCGUGUGUGAAGAAUGCCUUCGGGUUGUAAAGCACUUUCAGUGGGGAAGAAAGCCUUGGGGCUAAUACCCUCGAGGAAGGACAUCACCCACAGAAGAAGCACCGGCUAACUCCGUGCCAGCAAGCCGCGGUAAUACGGAGGGUGCGAGCGUUAAUCGGAAUUACUGGGCGUAAAGCGCGCGUAGGCGGUCUGAUAAGCCGGUUGUGAAAGCCCCGGGCUCAACCUGGGAACGGCAUCCGGAACUGUCAGGCUAGAGUGCAGGAGAGGAAGGUAGAAUUCCCGGUGUAGCGGUGAAAUGCGUAGAGAUCGGGAGGAAUACCAGUGGCGAAGGCGGCCUUCUGGACUGACACUGACGCUGAGGUGCGAAAGCGUGGGUAGCAAACAGGAUUAGAUACCCGAGUAGUC